RNAcentral lists this ribosomal RNA (235 nucleotides) under uncultured bacterium. Its description in RNAcentral is "partial 16S ribosomal RNA". It matches the Rfam family "Bacterial small subunit ribosomal RNA", at positions 96 to 334 of the family's 1533-position model. The record is from RNAcentral.
UGGCGAACGGGUGAGUAAUAUAUUGGAACGUACCGAGUAAUGGGGGAUAACCAAUCGAAAGAUUGGCUAAUACCGCAUACGCUCUGAGGAGGAAAGCAGGGGACCUUCGGGCCUUGCGUUAUUCGAGCGGCCAAUAUCUGAUUAGCUAGUUGGUGGGGUAAAGGCCUACUAAGGCGACGAUCAGUAGCGGGUCUGAGAGGAUGAUCCGCCACACUGGGACUGAGACACGGCCCAG